RNAcentral lists this ribosomal RNA (465 nucleotides) under Vreelandella stevensii. RNAcentral's name for it is "partial 16S ribosomal RNA". It matches the Rfam family "Bacterial small subunit ribosomal RNA", at positions 338 to 795 of the family's 1533-position model. The record is from RNAcentral. Lineage: Bacteria; Pseudomonadati; Pseudomonadota; Gammaproteobacteria; Oceanospirillales; Halomonadaceae.
CCUACGGGCGGCAGCAGUGGGGAAUAUUGGACAAUGGGGGGAACCCUGAUCCAGCCAUGCCGCGUGUGUGAAGAAGGCCCUCGGGUUGUAAAGCACUUUCAGUGAGGAAGAACGCCUGGUGGUUAAUACCCAUCAGGAAAGACAUCACUCACAGAAGAAGCACCGGCUAACUCCGUGCCAGCAGCCGCGGUAAUACGGAGGGUGCGAGCGUUAAUCGGAAUUACUGGGCGUAAAGCGCGCGUAGGUGGCUUGAUAAGCCGGUUGUGAAAGCCCCGGGCUCAACCUGGGAACGGCAUCCGGAACUGUCAAGCUAGAGUGCAGGAGAGGAAGGUAGAAUUCCCGGUGUAGCGGUGAAAUGCGUAGAGGUCGGGAGGAAUACCAGUGGCGAAGGCGGCCUUCUGGACUGACACUGACACUGAGGUGCGAAAGCGUGGGUAGCAAACAGGAUUAGAUACCCUAGUAGUC